GAGUCCUCUGGGAUAUGAUACUUGGUCUUGUCAUUUUAUAUUACUUGUGCGACUUAGUACACUUGUCGAUCUGUCCCAAUAAGUUUUUGGCGCCGUUGUCGGGGACUCACGGUUUAAGCUAUUCUAUUUGUGUGAUCCUUGAUUAAUUUUGAGUUUAUUUUUAUUUUAUUUUCCUUUAUUUUAAUUUUUUAAUUUUUUAUUUUUUAUUUUUCUUUUUCAAUCUUUAAUUUUUAAUCUUUAUUUUUUUAAUUUGUGUUUUAUUCUUUUUAUUUUUAUUUUUAUACUAACAAUAUUUUCUAGAAGUUCUGUGCAGGACCUGAGACUAGCAAGAGGCCAAAAGGAGAUAGAUUAUCUAGAGAAAAUUUCA
This 367-nucleotide long non-coding RNA is filed under the name Vigna radiata. RNAcentral describes it as "long non-coding RNA (VRAD_LNC015989)". Lineage: Eukaryota; Viridiplantae; Streptophyta; Magnoliopsida; Fabales; Fabaceae. The record is from RNAcentral.